RNAcentral lists this long non-coding RNA (1319 nucleotides) under Monodelphis domestica (gray short-tailed opossum). RNAcentral's name for it is "lncRNA (ENSMODG00000039420.1)". Lineage: Eukaryota; Metazoa; Chordata; Mammalia; Didelphimorphia; Didelphidae. The record is from RNAcentral.
AUGUUAUGGGAAAGGAUUUACCAUUGCACCAGCAGCCUGCAGUAUGACUACCUCUCUAAACAUAUAUGGACCCAAGCUAGUAAAAUUAUGUGCUUAUAUUAUACUCUCAAUUCCAUUUCAAUUCAGGUUUUUCUAUUCUCUCAAUUAUUUCUGCUCUGCACGUUAUAAAUCUCUUUGAAAGAAUUCAAGAAGAAUCUUAUAUGGUUCCAUAGCCACAGAGUCCUUUGCAUAAGAGGUGCUGCUUUAUUUUCCUUUGUCUUGCAAUAUUUAUUCAUAGAUGUACAGAUUCUUAUUUGGAGAUGAUUCCCUCUGAAUGCUCUGCUUCUUUUCAAGGUCUUAAUUUUUUUUUAAACCCUUACUUUCCACCUUGGAGUCAAUACUGUGUAUUGGCUCCAAGGCAGAAGAGUGGUAAGGGCUAGGCCAUGGGGGUUAAGGGACUUGCCCAGGGUCACACAGCUGGGAAGUGUCUGAGGUCAAAUUUGAACCUAGGACCUCCCAUCUCUAGGCCUGGCUCUCAAUCUCUUUUCAAGGUCUUAAUAACUGAAUUUUCUUCUUCCUGAUAGCUUAGGUAAUUAAAAUUUUCCCUUUUGUAUUCUCUCCCCUAGAUCACUUUCUGAGUUUUUUCCCUUUAAGGAUGACUUCCUUGGGCGAUAGACCUCAAAGCUAUUUUCUCUUCCCCUGUUGGACAACUCACUUUUAUUGACUUCAGUCUCUGUCCCAAAUGACGUCUGGGAGGACAAAACUGGCCGUAGCUGUAUUCUAAGUUCUUUUCCUCAAACUUAACAAAGUACCACACAGCCACAUUUGUUUGUGUCCUGCCCCUAUUUUCUCUGUUCCUUAGUUCUCUGGUUGAGCUUUUCUGCAGUCCUACACGCGGCCAUGAUGCUCUCCUAGCCAGGGCAAGCUCUUGCCUUUUAGUUUUCCUAGGCAAUGGGAUGAGAGUAAAGGGAAGAAAUAAGUUUUGUUGCAAGUCCAUGUAUCAAUUUGCGUGGCACUGCCCGAGCUUGGUGCACAGCAGAGGAUAGAGAACUGAGUGAGAAUGCUAGAUGUUACAAAUUAGGGUUUUCUGUUGUCUUGGAGUUGAUUUCCAGUUUUCUUGGAGUUGUUCUGUCGUCUUGGAGUUUUUUACUGAUUAUGGAUUCUUGGCAGCUCAAAUUGCUUUUACCUCUUGUGCAUAGUUUGUUUUUUGCAGAGAUCUGAGAGGUUGUGGGAAUUGAAGAAAAUGUUUAGUCAUCCAUCUUGUUAGUCACUUGAAACUAAAAUUUCCCUAUCUCCAUUUUUCAAAUAAAACAAAACAAAAACAGGCUGAAAACUUAAAA